UACGGAGGGUGCGAGCGUUAAUCGGAUUUAUUGGGCGUAAAGAGCACGUAGGCGGCAAUGUAAGUCAGAUGUGAAAUUUCGGGGCUCAACCCCGAAGCUGCAUUUGAAACUGCAUAGCUAGAGGCUAGGCGGAGAAAGAGGAAUUCCAAGUGUAGCGGUGAAAUGCGUAGAUAUUUGGAAGAACACCUGUGGCGAAAGCGUCUUUCUAGCUUAGUCCUGACGCUGAGGUGCGAGAGCAAGGGGAGCAAACAGG
RNAcentral lists this unclassified non-coding RNA (253 nucleotides) under uncultured Chlamydiales bacterium. RNAcentral's name for it is "contains 16S-23S intergenic spacer region". It matches the Rfam family "Bacterial small subunit ribosomal RNA", at positions 524 to 776 of the family's 1533-position model. Lineage: Bacteria; Pseudomonadati; Chlamydiota; Chlamydiia; Chlamydiales. The record is from RNAcentral.